Molecule: transfer RNA, 73 nt
Filed under: Canis lupus familiaris (dog)
Lineage: Eukaryota; Metazoa; Chordata; Mammalia; Carnivora; Canidae
Also listed under: 1 other name
Rfam family: tRNA
About the family: Transfer RNA (tRNA) molecules are approximately 80 nucleotides in length. Their secondary structure includes four short double-helical elements and three loops (D, anti-codon, and T loops).
Source: Rfam by way of RNAcentral
ACCUGGCUAGCUCAGUGAGUAGAGCACAUGGCUGUUGAUCUUGGGAUCAUGAGUUCAAGCCCCAUAUUGGGUG